AGAGUUAAAUAGUACGUGAAAUUGCUAAAAGGGAAACGAUUGACGUCAGUAGUGGCGGUCAGAAAUCAGCGAUCAGCUCUGGCUGGUGGUGCACUUUCUGUCCGGCGCGUCAACAUCAGUUUCUGGCGGUGGAGAAAAGGCGUCGGAAGGUGGCUCGCUUCGGUGAGUGUUAUAGCCGACGCCCGAUACACUGCUGGAGACUGAGGAUUGCGGCGUGUGCCCUCGGGCUGGUUUGACUGGUGUCUGUGUGCGAUGCGGGUUUGGACAGCGUGCUGACCAAAGCCGUACUCGUGCCCAUGCGCCAGCUCAUCACACACACGCCUCGGAUGUUGACGAAAUGACGUUAAACGACC
This 353-nucleotide non-coding RNA is filed under the name uncultured fungus. RNAcentral also lists the same sequence under 1 other name. The record is from RNAcentral. Lineage: Eukaryota; Fungi.